Molecule: long non-coding RNA, 476 nt
Organism: Camellia sinensis
Lineage: Eukaryota; Viridiplantae; Streptophyta; Magnoliopsida; Ericales; Theaceae
Source: RefSeq, a predicted model, not a curated record
GAGAAAUAAUUUAUUAUUAACCCCUUCCAGUGCUUCUUCUCCUAUCCACCCUUCACAUUCUAUCUCUACUUUCUAGUGCUAAAAAAAUGGAUGUGCCAAAGCGCUUUGAGCUCCUUAUCUUGCUCUUUAUGAUCCUUGCCAUAUCCCAAUACACAACUGUUGAAGCAAGAGCUAUAUCACUCCAACACCUACAAAGGUAUUCAAAGGAGUUUGCAAAUAAUCUUGGAGUUGUGUGUGACUGUUGUGAUGGUGAGGAAGGUGAUCAGUGCAGGAGCUCAUGGGAAGGGAGUUGCUCUAAGCUCCGCUGUCUUCCAUGGAAAUAUCAUUGAUUUAAUAUUCAUUCUAUAUAUGAAUAUAAGUUUAUAAUGUUUGUAUAAGCAAUUCAUGUUUGUGAUGCUUACGGAUUACAAAGUCUUUAUUUUAUAUGAUAUAAUAAAAUAUUGACUAAUAUAUAGAAUUUGCUCUUCAUGUUAAUA